UGCACUUUUAUUUUUCAGGCCUUUCGUACAUAUCAUCACACGUGUCUCUUCUUGUACUAAUAUGAUUGUUUAAUGUAUUAUUUGUAGUAAUAAUAGCAGACAGUGUUCAGUUGAUUAUUUGAAAACUUGUUGGCUGGCUAUGUCUUAUUUUGAUAAGUUUUCACCGGAAGUAUUUGUAUGCUUAUAGUUACUCUUUGUGACCUUUAGAGAAGGCAGCAACACCGAUGAUGAUCAUGAUCAUGUCCAUCUUAUGUUUGUAUAUGGGAGAGCAAUGGUCUUCACAGCAGUCAGAGCUUCAUUGCAGGCCCUGGAAAUGUGAGAUGGUGGCAACAGGAAGCCAUAACGCCCACGGUCCUGGAGCUCAAAUGUGAAGGAGUAUUUGAUGCCAAGGUUGUACGCCCAAUCAUCAGAACCACCGGGAGCCAAGUCUGGAGAGCAGACAACAACAUGAAUGUGUGCAGGAGUACGGGAAGAGCAGCAUCUGAGAGUAGGAGUGGAUGCUGAGGUAGAUCUGAACUACGUCCUUGUGACGGCGCAGGAAGUUGGCCACAGCCUGCGACUCUGGUUCAGACUCAGGGAAGGCACCGCAGUAG
Long non-coding RNA from Cottoperca gobio, 593 nucleotides. RefSeq lists it as uncharacterized. The transcript is spliced from 3 exons. Lineage: Eukaryota; Metazoa; Chordata; Actinopteri; Perciformes; Bovichtidae. The record is from RefSeq and is a predicted model, not a curated record.